This 253-nucleotide ribosomal RNA is filed under the name uncultured bacterium. RNAcentral describes it as "partial 16S ribosomal RNA". It matches the Rfam family "Bacterial small subunit ribosomal RNA", at positions 524 to 776 of the family's 1533-position model. The record is from RNAcentral.
UACGGAGGGUGCGAGCGUUGUCCGGAAUCAUUGGGCGUAAAGGGCGCGUAGGUGGCUUCUCAAGCGUGCGGUGAAAGCCUGGGGCUCAACCCCGGGUCGGCCGUGCGAACUGGGGGGCUGGAGCACUGUAGAGGCAGGCGGAAUUCCGGGUGUAGCGGUGGAAUGCGUAGAGAUCCGGAAGAACACCGGUGGCGAAGGCGGCCUGCUGGGCAGUUGCUGACACUGAGGCGCGACAGCGUGGGGAGCAAACAGG